This is a non-coding RNA of Phthorimaea operculella (potato tuberworm), 71 nucleotides long. The record is from the annotation of a GenBank genome assembly. NCBI's taxonomy places the organism in Eukaryota, Metazoa, Arthropoda, Insecta, Lepidoptera, Gelechiidae.
GCGCCCGUAGCUCAGUUGGCAGAGUGGUGGAACGUUGAUCACAGUCCCGGGUUCUAGUCCCGGCGGUCACU